RNAcentral lists this ribosomal RNA (482 nucleotides) under uncultured bacterium. RNAcentral describes it as "partial 16S ribosomal RNA". It matches the Rfam family "Bacterial small subunit ribosomal RNA", at positions 30 to 507 of the family's 1533-position model. The record is from RNAcentral.
AUUGAACGCUGGCGGCAUGCUUUACACAUGCAAGUCGAACGGUAACAGCACUUCGGUGGCUGACGAGUGGCGAACGGGUGAGUAAUACAUCGGAACGUGCCUAGUAGUGGGGGAUAACUACUCGAAAGAGUAGCUAAUACCGCAUGAGAUCUAAGGAUGAAAGCAGGGGACCUUCGGGCCUUGCGCUACUAGAGCGGCUGAUGGCAGAUUAGGUAGUUGGUGGGAUAAAAGCUUACCAAGCCGACGAUCUGUAGCUGGUCUGAGAGGACGACCAGCCACACUGGGACUGAGACACGGCCCAGACUCCUACGGGAGGCAGCAGUGGGGAAUUUUGGACAAUGGGCGCAAGCCUGAUCCAGCAAUGCCGCGUACAGGAUGAAGGCCUUCGGGUUGUAAACUGCUUUUGUACGGAACGAAAAGCCCUCUUCUAAUACAGGAGGGUCAUGACGGUACCGUAAGAAUAAGCACCGGCUAACUACGUG